Monopterus albus (swamp eel) is the source of this 259-nucleotide long non-coding RNA. RefSeq lists it as uncharacterized. The record is from RefSeq and is a predicted model, not a curated record. NCBI's taxonomy places the organism in Eukaryota, Metazoa, Chordata, Actinopteri, Synbranchiformes, Synbranchidae. The transcript is spliced from 3 exons.
CUUGACGUGAGAAGCCUUUGACUGACAAGAGAAUCCCAUCAAUGCUGCUGGUUGGGUAUGACAAGCUGUAACCCAUCCAGAGACAGCACGAAGACAAAAUUCUAGUACGACCAGGGAGGCAACACGAGAGCCCACUACAGCCAGCAUCAGAGCCACGAAGAAAAACUGGAGCAUCCCUUGCAGUGUUCCAUGCUGAGCAGUGAAGUGGUAAUUCCAGGCCGCAGAUAAGCCUGUGAGGAGAGGAAGGACUUUCCACAUG